UACGUAGGGUGCAAGCGUUGUCCGGAAUUAUUGGGCGUAAAGAGCUCGUAGGCGGUUUGUCGCGUCUGCUGUGAAAACGCGAGGCUCAACCUCGCGCCUGCAGUGGGUACGGGCAGACUAGAGUGUGGUAGGGGAGAUUGGAAUUCCUGGUGUAGCGGUGGAAUGCGCAGAUAUCAGGAGGAACACCGAUGGCGAAGACAGAUCUCUGGGCCAUUACUGACGCUGAGGAGCGAAAGCGUGGGGAGCGAACAGG
RNAcentral lists this ribosomal RNA (253 nucleotides) under uncultured bacterium. RNAcentral describes it as "partial 16S ribosomal RNA". It matches the Rfam family "Bacterial small subunit ribosomal RNA", at positions 524 to 776 of the family's 1533-position model. The record is from RNAcentral.